AGCAGUAGCCGCGGGAAUACGUAGGGCGCAAGCGUUAUCCGGAAUUAUUGGGCGUAAAGAGCUCGUAGGCGGUUUGUCGCGUCUGCCGUGAAAGUCCGGGGCUCAACCCCGGAUCUGCGGUGGGUACGGGCAGACUAGAGUGAUGUAGGGGAGACUGGAAUUCCUGGUGUAGCGGUGAAAUGCGCAGAUAUCAGGAGGAACACCGAUGGCGAAGGCAGGUCUCUGGGCAUUAACUGACGCUGAGGAGCGAAAGCAUGGGGAGCGAACAGGAUUAGAUACCCCGGUAGUCCCUGUCUCUUAUAC
Molecule: ribosomal RNA, 303 nt
Filed under: uncultured bacterium
Lineage: Bacteria
Description: partial 16S ribosomal RNA
Rfam family: Bacterial small subunit ribosomal RNA
Source: RNAcentral